Molecule: long non-coding RNA, 289 nt
Filed under: Citrus sinensis (sweet orange)
Lineage: Eukaryota; Viridiplantae; Streptophyta; Magnoliopsida; Sapindales; Rutaceae
Description: long non-coding RNA (CSIN_LNC003475)
Source: RNAcentral
AUAGAUAAAGUCAAUCAAGGAGAAGAAUGGGAAACCCGAGUACAACUCGGACAUUCCACAACCGGAAAGAUAUUCUGGAACAUUGAUGGAAUGAAGCCUAAAGAAAGGCUGGCUUAUUUUGAGAAAAUGGUAGCAUGGUAUGAAGGAGAAUGUCAAAGAGCCCCCCAGUUGAGCAGAAGAUCAGCCGCAUUACGGCUGGUAGCAGGAUUUGUUGGAUCGCUAAGACGAUGGUGGGGAUGAAAGCUUACUGGUGAGCAACGACAAUUCAUUCUCAGCAGAGAAGAUCCUU